GUUGGGAAGAGGAAGAAAUUGAGUGCCUAAGAGCGGUGGGUAUGGGAACACUAAGGAAAGCCUACAAUAUUAUCUUCUUCUCCACUAGAAUUGGGGAUUAAGAUAAUGUUUUUUUAGCUUUCCUAAUGCCUCCCAUUCCUAUUGUUGUUAGAUGCUCCUUCCUCUUCCUUUUGACU
This 176-nucleotide microRNA precursor is filed under the name Leersia perrieri. RNAcentral's name for it is "pre miRNA MIR2118". It matches the Rfam family "MIR2118 microRNA precursor family". Lineage: Eukaryota; Viridiplantae; Streptophyta; Magnoliopsida; Poales; Poaceae. The record is from Rfam by way of RNAcentral.